GCCUAGCCAUAAACCAAAAUAAUCUCCAUAACAAAAUUAUUCGCCAGAGUACUACUAGCAACAGCCUAAAACUCAAAGGACUUGGCGGUGCUUUAUAUCCCUCUAGAGGAGCCUGUUCCGUAAUCGAUAAACCCCGAUAAACCUUACCACCCCUUGCCAAUACAGCCUAUAUACCGCCAUCUUCAGCAAACCCUAAAAAGGAAACAAAGUAAGCAUAAGCAUAGGACAUAAAAACGUUAGGUCAAGGUGUAGCUUAUGAGGUGGAGAGAAAUGGGCUACAUUUUCUAACCAAGAACAACACAUCCCAUGACACGAAAGUUUUUAUGAAACUAAAAACUAAAGGAGGAUUUAGCAGUAAAUUAAGAAUAGAGAGCUUAAUUGAACUAGGCCAUGAAGCACGC
RNAcentral lists this ribosomal RNA (401 nucleotides) under Tapirus indicus (Asiatic tapir). Its description in RNAcentral is "partial 12S ribosomal RNA". It matches the Rfam family "Bacterial small subunit ribosomal RNA", at positions 794 to 1384 of the family's 1533-position model. The record is from RNAcentral. Lineage: Eukaryota; Metazoa; Chordata; Mammalia; Perissodactyla; Tapiridae.